Molecule: ribosomal RNA, 479 nt
Filed under: uncultured bacterium
Lineage: Bacteria
Description: bacterial SSU rRNA
Rfam family: Bacterial small subunit ribosomal RNA
Source: RNAcentral
AUUGAACGCUGGCGGCAUGCCUUACACAUGCAAGUCGAACGGCAGCACGGGGGCAACCCUGGUGGCGAGUGGCGAACGGGUGAGUAAUAUAUCGGAACGUGCCCUGGAGUGGGGGAUAGCUCGGCGAAAGCCGGAUUAAUACCGCAUACGAUCUAAGGAUGAAAGUGGGGGAUUCGCAAGAACCUCAUGCUCCUGGAGCGGCCGAUAUCUGAUUAGCUAGUUGGUGGGGUAAAAGCCUACCAAGGCGACGAUCUGUAGCUGGUCUGAGAGGACGACCAGCCACACUGGAACUGAGACACGGUCCAGACUCCUACGGGAGGCAGCAGUGGGGAAUUUUGGACAAUGGGGGCAACCCUGAUCCAGCAAUGCCGCGUGUGUGAAGAAGGCCUUCGGGUUGUAAAGCACUUUUGGCGGGAACGAAACGGUUUGGGCUAAUACCCUGGACUAAUGACGGUACCCGCAGAAUAAGCACCGGCUAA